GACGAACGCUGGCGGCGUGCUUAACACAUGCAAGUCGAACGGAAAGGCCCUGCUUUUGUGGGGUGCUCGAGUGGCGAACGGGUGAGUAACACGUGAGUAACCUGCCCUUGUCUUUGGGAUAACUUCAGGAAACUGGGGCUAAUAUCGGAUAGGAGCUCCUGCUGCAUGGUGGGGGUUGGAAAGUUUCGGCGGUUGGGGAUGGACUCGCGGCUUAUCGGCUUGUUGGUGGGGUAGUGGCUUACCAAGGCUUUGACGGGUAGCCGGCCUGGGAGGGUGACCGGGCUCAAUGGUCCUGAGAUAGGCAGCAGAAGCGAACGGUAGGCAGCGGGGGAAAGUAUGACAGAGUGGCGGGGAGCGAGUGAUGAAGGCCUCCGGUGCGGAAAGACGGGUUAUGGGUGAAAAACCAAUUUCGACGGAGACAAACCGGUAGUGACGGUAACGGGUAAAAAAGCACCGGCUAACUACGUG
This 468-nucleotide ribosomal RNA is filed under the name uncultured bacterium. Its description in RNAcentral is "partial 16S ribosomal RNA". It matches the Rfam family "Bacterial small subunit ribosomal RNA", at positions 28 to 507 of the family's 1533-position model. The record is from RNAcentral.